This 254-nucleotide ribosomal RNA is filed under the name uncultured bacterium. RNAcentral's name for it is "partial 16S ribosomal RNA". It matches the Rfam family "Bacterial small subunit ribosomal RNA", at positions 524 to 776 of the family's 1533-position model. The record is from RNAcentral.
UACGUAGGUGGCAAGCGUUGUCCGGAUUUAUUGGGCGUAAAGAGCUCGUAGGCGGCUUGUCGCGUCGACUGUGAAAACCCGUGGCUCAACCAUGUGGUCUGCAGUCGAUACGGGCAGGCUAGAAUUCGGUAGGGGAGACUGGAAUUCCUGGUGUAGCGGUGAAAUGCGCAGAUAUCAGGAGGAACACCGGUGGCGAAGGCGGGUCUCUGGGCCGAUAUUGACGCUGAGGAGCGAAAGCGUGGGGAGCGAACAGG